This 68-nucleotide transfer RNA is filed under the name Schistocephalus solidus. It matches the Rfam family "tRNA". Rfam says of the family: Transfer RNA (tRNA) molecules are approximately 80 nucleotides in length. The record is from Rfam by way of RNAcentral. Lineage: Eukaryota; Metazoa; Platyhelminthes; Cestoda; Diphyllobothriidea; Diphyllobothriidae.
GAGUCCGUAGCUAAAUGGUAUAGCGUUUGACUCCAAUACAAAAUGUCACAGUUCGAAUCCCAGGUUUA